GAACGGUAGCACAGAGAGCUUGCUCUUGGGUGACGAGUGGCGGACGGGUGAGUAAUGUCUGGGAAACUGCCCGAUGGAGGGGGAUAACUACUGGAAACGGUAGCUAAUACCGCAUAACGUCUUCGGACCAAAGUGGGGGACCUUCGGGCCUCACACCAUCGGAUGUGCCCAGAUGGGAUUAGCUAGUAGGUGGGGUAACGGCUCACCUAGGCGACGAUCCCUAGCUGGUCUGAGAGGAUGACCAGCCACACUGGAACUGAGACACGGUCCAGACUCCUACGGGAGGCAGCAGUGGGGAAUAUUGCACAAUGGGCGCAAGCCUGAUGCAGCCAUGCCGCGUGUAUGAAGAAGGCCUUCGGGUUGUAAAGUACUUUCAGUGGGGAGGAAGGCGAUGGAGUUAAUAGCUUCGUCGAUUGACGUUACCCGCAGAAGAAGCACCGGCUAACUCCGUG
RNAcentral lists this ribosomal RNA (452 nucleotides) under uncultured bacterium. RNAcentral describes it as "bacterial SSU rRNA". It matches the Rfam family "Bacterial small subunit ribosomal RNA", at positions 64 to 507 of the family's 1533-position model. The record is from RNAcentral.